Molecule: ribosomal RNA, 463 nt
Filed under: uncultured bacterium
Lineage: Bacteria
Description: bacterial SSU rRNA
Rfam family: Bacterial small subunit ribosomal RNA
Source: RNAcentral
ACCAGACUCCUACGGGAGGCAGCAGUGGGGAAUAUUGCACAAUGGGGGAAACCCUGAUGCAGCGACGCCGCGUGAGUGAAGAAGCGUUUCGGCGCGUAAAGCUCUGUCAGCGGGGAAGAAACACGGUUCGCGAGAGCCGCGGACGGUACCUGACUAAGAAGCCCCGGCUAACUACGUGCCAGCAGCCGCGGUAAUACGUAGGGGGCAAGCGUUAUCCGGAUUUACUGGGUGUAAAGGGAGCGUAGACGGCGACGCAAGUCUGAAGUGAAAUGCCAGUGCUCAACACUGGAACUGCUUUGGAAACUGUGUAGCUAGAGUGCAGGAGAGGUAAGUGGAAUUCCUAGUGUGGCGGUGAAAUGCGUAGAUAUUAGGAGGAACACCAGUGGCGAAGGCGGCUUACUGGACUGUAACUGACGUUGAGGCUCGAAGGCGUGGGGAGCAAACAGGAUUAGAUACCCCAGUA